This 1000-nucleotide ribosomal RNA is filed under the name uncultured organism. Its description in RNAcentral is "bacterial SSU rRNA". It matches the Rfam family "Bacterial small subunit ribosomal RNA", at positions 355 to 1375 of the family's 1533-position model. The record is from RNAcentral.
UGGGGGAUAUUGCGCAAUGGGGGCAACCCUGACGCAGCAACGCCGCGUGAAGGAUGAAGGUUUUCGGAUUGUAAACUUCUUUUAUUAAGGACGAAAAAUGACGGUACUUAAUGAAUAAGCUCCGGCUAACUACGUGCCAGCAGCCGCGGUAAUACGUAGGGAGCAAGCGUUGUCCGGAUUUACUGGGUGUAAAGGGUGCGUAGGCGGCUUUGCAAGUCAGAUGUGAAAUCUAUGGGCUCAACCCAUAAACUGCAUUUGAAACUGUAGAGCUUGAGUGAAGUAGAGGCAGGCGGAAUUCCCCGUGUAGCGGUGAAAUGCGUAGAGAUGGGGAGGAACACCAGUGGCGAAGGCGGCCUGCUGGGCUUUAACUGACGCUGAGGCACGAAAGCGUGGGUAGCAAACAGGAUUAGAUACCCUGGUAGUCCACGCUGUAAACGAUGAUUACUAGGUGUGGGGGGUCUGACCCCUUCCGUGCCGGAGUUAACACAAUAAGUAAUCCACCUGGGGAGUACGGCCGCAAGGUUGAAACUCAAAGGAAUUGACGGGGGCCCGCACAAGCAGCGGAGUAUGUGGUUUAAUUCGAAGCAACGCGAAGAACCUUACCAGGUCUUGACAUCCAACUAACGAAGUAGAGAUACAUUAGGUGCCCUUCGGGGAAAGUUGAGACAGGUGGUGCAUGGUUGUCGUCAGCUCGUGUCGUGAGAUGUUGGGUUAAGUCCCGCAACGAGCGCAACCCUUGCUAUUAGUUGCUACGCAAGAGCACUCUAAUAGGACUGCCGUUGACAAAACGGAGGAAGGUGGGGACGACGUCAAAUCAUCAUGCCCCUUAUGACCUGGGCUACACACGUACUACAAUGGAUGUUAACAGAGGGAAGCAAGACAGCGAUGUGGAGCAAACCCCUAAAAACAUUCUCAGUUCAGAUUGCAGGCUGCAACCCGCCUGCAUGAAGAUGGAAUUGCUAGUAAUCGCGGAUCAGCAUGCCGCGGUGAAUACGUUCCC